CCGCUGCCCCUGGCCCGCUGGCUCGCCGCGCGCUCUCUUCCUCUUGCUAACUUUCGGGUUCUGCGAUCGACAAGAAACCGGGGCGACCCUCAGCAAGUCUUCCGGGUGCAGUUUUGGUCAGUCGCAGAGAUAAUCCAAGAAAGUCGCUGAGCCUUUGGGAGCCUUAGGCUGCACAUCCAGAAGAUGGGGAUAAUGACAGUCACGGCGUUACACACCGUGUGUGCUGUGCCUGGAACAGUCCUGCUACAGAACAGGUCUCAGGAGUGAUCUAACCGGCCGCUCUGUGAUUAAAGUGCUUCAACGACAGUUACAAUCAAACGAGGAAUUGGAGAGAGCUGCCUGGUGGGUCCCUGUGUAAUCGGACACGGCCCAGACUUCCUAGAUGCACUGAUGAGAUGGAUGCCGUCUAAUUGGAAGAUUCCUGGAAUUUUCAUCACUGGAAGUCCCCACAAAACACAGGAUCCAGUUUAUUCAUUCCAUGAAAACAUAUCGAGUCAUUACCACGUGCCUGGCACUGCUGGGGAAGAUGGAAUCCAGAAAAAAACUUCCAGGCUCUGACAGUCAUCAAAAGAACCAGAAACGAGAGGUCACUGCCUCCCACGCCGCUGCGCUCUCUAGAAGCACUGUAA
Molecule: long non-coding RNA, 629 nt
Organism: Rhinolophus ferrumequinum (greater horseshoe bat)
Lineage: Eukaryota; Metazoa; Chordata; Mammalia; Chiroptera; Rhinolophidae
Exons: 4
Source: RefSeq, a predicted model, not a curated record